UGGAUCCAGACUUUGAUCCUGGCUCAGGAUGAACGCUAGCGGCAGGCUUAACACAUGCGAGUCGAGGGGCAGCAUAAUGGAUAGCAAUAUCUAUGGUGGCGACCGGCGCACGGGUGCGUAACGCGUAUGCAACCUACCUUUAACAGGGGGAUAACACUGAGAAAUUGGUACUAAUACCCCAUAAUAUCAUAGAAGGCAUCUUUUAUGGUUGAAAAUUCCGAUGGUUAGAGAUGGGCAUGCGUUGUAUUAGCUAGUUGGUGGGGUAACGGCUCACCAAGGCGACGAUACAUAGGGGGACUGAGAGGUUAACCCCCCACACUGGUACUGAGACACGGACCAGACUCCUACGGGAGGCAGCAGUGAGGAAUAUUGGUCAAUGGACGCAAGUCUGAACCAGCCAUGCCGCGUGCAGGAUGACGGCUCUAUGAGUUGUAAACUGCUUUUGUACGAGGGUAAACGCAGAUACGUGUAUCUGUCUGAAAGUAUCGUACGAAUAAGGAUCGGCUAACUCCGUGCCAGCAGCCGCGGUAAUACGGAGGAUUCAAGCGUUAUCCGGAUUUAUUGGGUUUAAAGGGUGCGUAGGCGGUUUGAUAAGUUAGAGGUGAAAUUUCGGGGCUCAACCCUGAACGUGCCUCUAAUACUGUUGAGCUAGAGAGUAGUUGCGGUAGGCGGAAUGUAUGGUGUAGCGGUGAAAUGCUUAGAGAUCAUACAGAACACCGAUUGCGAAGGCGGCUUACCAAACUAUAUCUGACGUUGAGGCACGAAAGCGUGGGGAGCAAACAGGAUUAGAUACCCUGGUAGUCCACGCAGUAAACGAUGAUAACUCGUUGUCGGCGAUACACAGACGGUGACUAAGCGAAAGCGAUAAGUUAUCCACCUGGGGAGUACGUUCGCAAGAAUGCAACUCAAAUGAAUUGACGGA
Molecule: ribosomal RNA, 922 nt
Filed under: uncultured Bacteroidota bacterium
Lineage: Bacteria; Pseudomonadati; Bacteroidota
Description: bacterial SSU rRNA
Rfam family: Bacterial small subunit ribosomal RNA
Source: RNAcentral